CCCGGUGGCUUUUCCGGAGGGGCCACACCCGUUCUAGAACACGGAAGUUAAGCCCUCCAAGGCCGAUGAUACUGCUGGCGAGAGGCAGUGGGAAAGAAAGUAGGACGCUGUCGGGU
This is a ribosomal RNA of Nitrospira moscoviensis, 116 nucleotides long. The record is from Rfam. NCBI's taxonomy places the organism in Bacteria, Pseudomonadati, Nitrospirota, Nitrospiria, Nitrospirales, Nitrospiraceae.